AACGAACGCUGGCGGCAUGCCUAACACAUGCAAGUCGAACGAUCCCUUCGGGGAUAGUGGCGCACGGGUGCGUAACGCGUGGGAACCUGCCCUUAGGUUCGGAAUAACUCAGAGAAAUUUGAGCUAAUACCGGAUAAUGUCUUCGGACCAAAGAAUUAUCGCCUUUGGAUGGGCCCGCGUUGGAUUAGCUAGUUGGUGGGGUAAAGGCCUACCAAGGCGACGAUCCAUAGCUGGUCUGAGAGGAUGAUCAGCCACACUGGGACUGAGACACGGCCCAGACUCCUACGGGAGGCAGCAGUGGGGAAUAUUGGACAAUGGGCGAAAGCCUGAUCCAGCAAUGCCGCGUGAGUGAUGAAGGCCUUAGGGUUGUAAAGCUCUUUUACCCGGGAUGAUAAUGACAGUACCGGGAGAAUAAGCCCCGGCUAACUCCGUG
This 433-nucleotide ribosomal RNA is filed under the name uncultured bacterium. RNAcentral's name for it is "partial 16S ribosomal RNA". It matches the Rfam family "Bacterial small subunit ribosomal RNA", at positions 29 to 507 of the family's 1533-position model. The record is from RNAcentral.